CCGUAUUUUAAAGUCGGCGUCUAUUUGGCGCCAUACCUUCGAGACACACUGUUAAUGACGAUGAACUUCCUCCAUUGUAAGACAUUCAACUUCGUUUGGGAUAUCUUUGGAAUAAAUGAAUGCAAACUUCGAAUUAAGAUAAUUCUCGUGUGAUGCAGAAAUAGUUAUAGAAUCUGGAACAAUCCUCGAGCAACACGAUUUGGUAGCAGAAUUUCAUCGGUAUGCAGCACGACAACGAUAAACGUUCGAUGCGUGUGCUAACCGCGCACACUUCUUUCAAGGAUGCAGGACACAAAGGACAUGGAUUCAAUAAGAGAAUGACAAUGUACUUAUUAGGACUAGUCAGGACUUGUAAUGCAAUUCGAUAGAAACGAUAAUACAAUGAGCAAAUUAUUUUAUUUUCAAUUAUCCUAAUUUUUUUGGUCCGGUUUUCAGGUAUGUAAUAAUUUUAAUUA
This is a long non-coding RNA of Apis dorsata (giant honeybee), 455 nucleotides long. RefSeq lists it as uncharacterized. The record is from RefSeq and is a predicted model, not a curated record. The transcript has 3 exons. NCBI's taxonomy places the organism in Eukaryota, Metazoa, Arthropoda, Insecta, Hymenoptera, Apidae.